UACGGAGGGGGCAAGCGUUGUCCGGAUUUAUUGGGCGUAAAGAGCGUGUAGGCGGCUAGGUAGGUCCGUUGUGAAAACUCGAGGCUCAACCUCGAGACGUCGAUGGAAACCAUCUAGCUAGAGUCCGGAAGAGGAGAGUGGAAUUCCUGGUGUAGCGGUGAAAUGCGCAGAUAUCAGGAAGAACACCCGUGGCGAAGGCGGCUCUCUGGUACGUGACUGACGCUGAGACGCGAAAGCGUGGGGAGCGAACAGG
RNAcentral lists this ribosomal RNA (253 nucleotides) under uncultured bacterium. RNAcentral describes it as "partial 16S ribosomal RNA". It matches the Rfam family "Bacterial small subunit ribosomal RNA", at positions 524 to 776 of the family's 1533-position model. The record is from RNAcentral.